AACGAACGCUGGCGGCAUGCCUAACACAUGCAAGUCGAACGAGACCUUAGGGUCUAGUGGCGCACGGGUGCGUAACGCGUGGGAAUCUGCCCUUGGGUUCGGAAUAACAGUUGGAAACGACUGCUAAUACCGGAUGAUGACGUAAGUCCAAAGAUUUAUCGCCCAGGGAUGAGCCCGCGUAGGAUUAGCUAGUUGGUGGGGUAAAGGCCUACCAAGGCGACGAUCCUUAGCUGGUCUGAGAGGAUGAUCAGCCACACUGGGACUGAGACACGGCCCAGACUCCUACGGGAGGCAGCAGUGGGGAAUAUUGGACAAUGGGCGGAAGCCUGAUCCAGCAAUGCCGCGUGAGUGAUGAAGGCCUUAGGGUUGUAAAGCUCUUUUACCCGGGAUGAUAAUGACAGUACCGGAAGAAUAAGCCCCGGCUAACUCCGUG
This 433-nucleotide ribosomal RNA is filed under the name uncultured bacterium. Its description in RNAcentral is "partial 16S ribosomal RNA". It matches the Rfam family "Bacterial small subunit ribosomal RNA", at positions 29 to 507 of the family's 1533-position model. The record is from RNAcentral.